Plectropomus leopardus (leopard coralgrouper) is the source of this 184-nucleotide non-coding RNA. The record is from RefSeq and is a predicted model, not a curated record. Lineage: Eukaryota; Metazoa; Chordata; Actinopteri; Perciformes; Serranidae.
AGCCCACAACAAAAAUACCAGACUAUGAUGUGGACGGUGGACGAGACCUUGACAUUUUUGACAUCAAUGAAGAGGCUGGGUUGGAUCUUGUAGAGGGGGACAUUGUGCUCGAUAAGACGCAAACUCGUAACUCCAUAAUAGGGGAUCAGUACAGGUGGCCAAAGACGAUCCCAUACUACAUGGA